RNAcentral lists this long non-coding RNA (492 nucleotides) under Oryza sativa (Asian cultivated rice). Its description in RNAcentral is "long non-coding RNA (OSAT_LNC000069)". Lineage: Eukaryota; Viridiplantae; Streptophyta; Magnoliopsida; Poales; Poaceae. The record is from RNAcentral.
CCGAAGGCUAUGCAUUGCGCUCAUCAUCUCAAAAGCUCUUCUUCUUCUCCUUAGUUGAUUUCAUCUUCAGUUGCUUGAGCUUAAUUACAGACUGAGAGAAGAUGUCUUGCAGCUGUGGAUCUAGCUGCAGCUGCGGCUCAAACUGCUCCUGCGGGUAAUUUUCACUGUAACUUUGCUGACUUGUUCUUGAUUUAUAGGGCAAUCUUUUCAUUAUUAAUAUUCUCUAAAUAUGCAGAGUAAUCGUUGUUGCAGAGUUAAUUCUUGUGGUAACUGAUUGAUGUUGAUUUUGUUGCAGAAAGAAGUACCCUGACCUGGAAGAGAAGAGCAGCAGCACCAAGGCCACCGUCGUGCUGGGUGUGGCGCCGGAGAAGAAGGCGCAGCAGUUUGAGGCGGCCGCAGAGUCCGGCGAGACCGCCCAUGGCUGCAGCUGCGGUUCCAGCUGCAGGUGCAACCCUUGCAACUGCUAAGAUGCCUGCCUGCAUCUACCAUCUA